Molecule: ribosomal RNA, 231 nt
Filed under: uncultured bacterium
Lineage: Bacteria
Description: partial 16S ribosomal RNA
Rfam family: Bacterial small subunit ribosomal RNA
Source: RNAcentral
UGGGCAACCUGCCCUCAGCUCUGGGAUAACUCCAAGAAAUUGGGGCUAAUACCGGAUAUGACUGCUGACCGCAUGGUCUGGUGGUGGAAAGAUUUAUCGGCUAGGGAUGGGCCCGCGGUCUAUCAGCUUGUUGGUGGGGUAAUGGCUCACCAAGGCGACGACGGAUAACCGGCCUGAGAGGGCGACCGGUCACACUGGGACUGAGACACGGCCCAGACCUCCGUACGGGAG